This 465-nucleotide ribosomal RNA is filed under the name uncultured bacterium. RNAcentral's name for it is "partial 16S ribosomal RNA". It matches the Rfam family "Bacterial small subunit ribosomal RNA", at positions 28 to 507 of the family's 1533-position model. The record is from RNAcentral.
GACGAACGCUGGCGGCGUGCUUAACACAUGCCAGUCGAACGGAAAGGCCCUGCUUGCAGGGUACUCGAGUGGCGAACGGGUGAGUAACACGUGGGUGAUCUGCCCUGCACUUCGGGAUAAGCCUGGGAAACUGGGUCUAAUACCGGAUAGGAGCCAUUUUUAGUGUGAUGGUUGGAAAGUUUUUUCGGUGUAGGAUGAGCUCGCGGCCUAUCAGCUUGUUGGUGGGGUAAUGGCCUACCAAGGCGGCGACGGGUAGCCGGCCUGAGAGGGUGGACGGCCACAUUGGGACUGAGAUACGGCCCAGACUCCUACGGGAGGCAGCAGUGGGGAAUAUUGCACAAUGGGCGCAAGCCUGAUGCAGCGACGCCGCGUGGGGGAUGACGGCCUUCGGGUUGUAAACUCCUUUCGCUAGGGACGAAGCUUUUUGCGACGGUACCUAGAUAAGAAGCACCGGCUAACUACGUG